RNAcentral lists this long non-coding RNA (476 nucleotides) under Bos taurus (domestic cattle). RNAcentral's name for it is "long non-coding RNA NONBTAT019485". Lineage: Eukaryota; Metazoa; Chordata; Mammalia; Artiodactyla; Bovidae. The record is from RNAcentral.
CUACUGGUAUUUUGUGCAUGGAGCUGUCACAACUUUGAUAUUAUAUAGAACAUUCAUAGUGUUUUAUUGAGGAGGCAAUAAAUCUUAUAAAAUAUGUGAUUAAUUGGAUGGUAUGUUUUCCUUUCUGACCUUAACCCAAUCCACUGUAUUAGUUGAUGUGAAAUCUAUAAAUCUCACAUUUCUUUAUAAUCUAUCACAUAGGAAUCAAUGGCCCAAUCAAGUAAACUAUAUCAUUUAAUUUGCUUGCUUUAGCUCUAUGUCUGUAUAAAAUCACACUUAUGGAUUUUAUAUAAUUGAAAAUGAAUGUAAAGAAUCCAAGACCUAGGCUGAUUAUGUAAAAAUUGGUAAGUGCUAUCAGUCAAUGAAUCUCCUGAAUGUUUUUAUUGGAAGUACACAGAAAAAUCCAUGAGAGUGUUCACACUUGCUAGUAAGUAACUGAUACAGUAAAGAAGUGUCUUCAGGAAUCUAAAAGUAAA